CGGGGUUGUAGGACCCCGAUAUGGGACCAGAGACGAUAGGCGAAGCGUUUGGAAAGAUGCGACAAAGAGGGUGAAAUCCCCGUAGCCGAAAUCCUCAAUGGCCCUAGGGAGUUCCUGAGUAGCACGGGACACGUGAAACCCCGUGUGAAUCUGCGCAGACCACUGCGUAAGGCUAAAUACUAACUAGCGACCGAUAGUGAACAAGUACCGUGAGGGAAAGGUGAAAAGUACCCCUGUGAGGGGAGUGAAAUAGAACCUGAAACCAUGUGCCUACAAGGUGUAAGAGCUGGGAUUUAUCCUGGUGAUUGCGUGCCUUUUGCUUAAUGAGUCUACGAGUUAGUGUCUGUGGCAAGCUUAAGUCCUUCUGGGACGCAGGCGUAGCGAAAGCAAGUCCGAAUAGGGCGAUUUAGUUGCAGGCGCUAGACCCGAAGCGGAGGCGACCUACCCAUGGCCAGGUUGAAGCGACAGUAAAAUGUCGUGGAGGACCGAACCGAUGUGUGUUGAAAAACGCUCGGAUGAGCUGUGGGUCGGAGUGAAAGGCUAUUCAAGCCCCGUGAUAGCUGGUUCUCCUCGAAAUGCAUUUAGGUGCAGCGUUGCGUGUUGAUGAGUGGGGGUAGAGCACUGAAAGGGCUAGGGGGCAUACCCGCCUACCAACCCCUAUCAAACUCCGAAUACCAUUCAAUAGAGCGCAGCAGUGAGACAGUGGGGGAUAAGCUUCAUUGUCGAAAGGGAAACAGCCCAGAUCAGCAGCUAAGGUGCCAAAAUCAUGCUAAGUGGAAAGGAGGUGGGGUUUCUUAGACAGUGAGGAUGUUGGCUUAGAAGCAGCCACCAUUUAAAAAAUGCGUAAUAGCUUACUCAUCGAGAGACCCUGCGCCGAAAAUGAUUGGCGAUAAGCAUGAUACCGAAGCUCUGGAUGUCAGAAUCCUGCGGGAAUCUGGCGUGGUAGAGGAGCAUUGUCAUCUGCAUUGAAGCGGAAAGGCGACUGACCGUGGAGUGAUGACAAGAGAGUAUGUAGACAUGAGUAACGAUAAGCCGGGUGAAAUCCCCGGCCGCCGUAAACCCAAGGUUUCCCGGGCAACGUUUUUCGUCCCGGGGUUAGUCGGGACCUAACCCGAGGCCGAUAGGCGUAGGGGAUGGUAAGCUGAUUAAUAUUUCAGCACCUGCAAAGUGAAGGGGACGCUUACUGGAUUGCAACCAGGUUAUUGAAUUCCGAGGGGAGGCCUUGUGCCGAACCGUAUUGCAUGAAUGUGAGCCAAGAAAAGCCGACACGACUAAAAGCAGCCCGUACCGUAAACCGACACAGGUGGGUGGGUAGAGUAUACCAAGGCGCAAGAGUGAAACCUGGUCAAGGAACUCGGCAAAAUAGCCCCGUAACUUCGGGAGAAGGGGUGCCUGUCUUCGGACAGGUCGCAGUGAAAUGGGUCAACCGACUGUUUAGCAAAAACACAGCAUUCUGCUAAGGCGCAAGCCGAUGUAUAGGAUGUGACACGUGACCAAUGCCAAAAGAUUACGAUGAGAUGUUAGCACUUUAGUGCGAAGCUUUGAGUCUAAGUCCUGGUGAAUGUCGGCCGUAACUAUAACGGUCCUAAGGUAGCGAAAUUCCUUGUCGGGUAAGUUCCGACCUGCACGAAUCGUGCAACGAGUUGACCACUGUCUCGACCAGGAGCUCAGUGAAAUUGUAGUGCCGGUGAAGAUGCCGGCUACCCGCAGAAGGACGGAAAGACCCUAUAGACCUUAACUGUAAGCUGUUACUGGUUAUUCGAUUUUAAUGCUCAGCAUAAGUGGGAGACUUUGAAGGGUGCGUUUAGGCGCAUCUGGAGUCGCUAGUGAGAUACCACCCUUUGACAUUGGAUAAUCUAACCCCGAGCCGUCACCCGGCCGGGGGACCGUGGCAGCCGGUCAGUUUUACUGGGGCGGUAUCCUCCUAAAGAGUAACGGAGGAGCGCGAAGGUUGGUUCAGCACGGUCUGCAACCGUGUGUCGAGUGUAAUGGCACAAACCAGCCUAACUGUGAGACCCACAAGUCGAGCAGAUACGAAAGUAGGCCAUAGUGAUCCGGCGGUAGAAAGUGGAAUUGCCGUCGCUCAACGGAUAAAA
RNAcentral lists this ribosomal RNA (2096 nucleotides) under marine metagenome. Its description in RNAcentral is "bacterial LSU rRNA". It matches the Rfam family "Bacterial large subunit ribosomal RNA", at positions 293 to 2461 of the family's 2925-position model. The record is from RNAcentral.